This 301-nucleotide ribosomal RNA is filed under the name uncultured bacterium. RNAcentral describes it as "partial 16S ribosomal RNA". It matches the Rfam family "Bacterial small subunit ribosomal RNA", at positions 509 to 807 of the family's 1533-position model. The record is from RNAcentral.
CAGCCGCCGCGGGAAUACGUAGGUGGCAAGCGUUGUCCGGAAUUAUUGGGCGUAAAGGGCUCGCAGGCGGUUUCUUAAGUCUGAUGUGAAAGCCCCCGGCUCAACCGGGGAGGGUCAUUGGAAACUGGGAAACUUGAGUGCAGAAGAGGAGAGUGGAAUUCCACGUGUAGCGGUGAAAUGCGUAGAGAUGUGGAGGAACACCAGUGGCGAAGGCGACUCUCUGGUCUGUAACUGACGCUGAGGAGCGAAAGCGCGGGGAGCGAACAGGAUUAGAUACCCCUGUAGUCCCUGUCUCUUAUAC